UGUCAUGCAGUAUGUAUAUGAACCAGCCUCGUGUGUCAUGCAGUAUGUAUAUGGACCAGCCUCGUGUGUCAUGCAGUAUGUAUAUGGACCAGCCUCGUGUGUCAUGCAGUAUGUAUAUGGACCAGCCUCGUGUGUCAUGCAGUAUGUAUAUGGACCAGCCUCGUGUGUCAUGCAGUAUGUAUAUGGACCAGCCUCGUGUGUCAUGCAGUAUGUAUAUGGACCAGCCUCGUGUGUCAUGCAGUAUGUAUAUGGACCAGCCUCGUGUGUCAUGCAGUAUGUUUUCUGUCAGAUAUGUUUUGUCUUCCCAGAGCUGCCGUGACGGAGGCCGGACUCGUGUGGGACCGCGGAGAUGCCGGGUCAAGCAGGGGAGACAUCACGGAGAGUCACACCAAGAUAGAUAGGUCAAUUUAGGUCAACAUAUGUCCUCAGUGUGUUAGUGAGGAUAGGCUAUCACUGGUUAGCUGUCUAAUCAUUGGGAGUGACUAGUGUGCAGAGCUCGGCAACAUUAUGGAAUACUAAAUGAUAUCAAGUGAUUGUUUUUAGUCUUAAGUUUACUCUCUCCUCCUCCUCCUCCUCCUCCUCCUCCUCUCUGUCUAUCUUCAUCCCUUCCUUCCUUUUAAUAAGUCCAAGUUAUCUUUUGCUUAAUUAACGUUUAUAAUUCUUUAUGGUGGUCAAAUCUUGCAUCUCAUUUCCCUGUCAUCCAUUCUCUCUCCUCCUCCUCCUCCUCCUCCUCCUCCUCUCUCUCUUUCUUCAACCCUUCCUUCCUUUUAAUGAAUAAGUUAUCUUUUGCUUAAUUAACAUUUAUAAUUCUUUAUGGUGGUCAAAUCUUGCAUCUCAUUUCCCUAUCGCCCAUUCUCUCUCCUCCUCCUCCUCCUCCUCCUCCUCCUGCUCAUAAUCCAAUUCCUUCUAUUCUCCUUUAUUCCUUUUUCACUUUCCCUCCUUCCCUUUUCCAUUCCCCCUCCCCGACUUUCCUCCAUUCUUUCCUCCUCUAUUCUUCCUUCAUCUCCUUCUCCUUUUUCUCCUUUCACUCCUCCUCCUCCUCUGUCUAUCUUCAUCCCUUCCUUCCUUUUAAUUAAUGUCUAAGUUAUCCUUUGAGUGACGUUCUUUCUGGCGGUCAAAUCUUGCAUCCAAUUUCCUAUCGUCCAUUCUCUCUCUUCCUCCUUCUCCUCUGUCUAUCUUCAUCCCUUCCUUCCUUUUAAUUAAUGUCUAAGUUAUCUUUUGCUCAAGGUUCCUUCCAGUGUGUUUGUGGUGCCCGGCUCUGCUUGCUAGUUUGUUUUGUCACUGUAUAAUUGUCAAUCCUAGCUAGUUUUGUCACUGUAUAAUUGUCAAUCCUAGCUAGUUUUGUCACUGUAUAAUUGUCAAUCCUAGCUAGUUUUGUCACUGUAUAAUUGUCAAUCCUAGUUUGUUUUGUCACUGUAUAAUGGUUGGUCCCAGCCAGGCGCCUCUUCCAUGUAAAGAUAUCGGCAGCUUCAAGCCUUGCCGAUAUCUCAAUCCGUACGUGAAUGUAAAUUAACCGAAAUCCUUGUUACUAAGCCCUGCACGGUGCUCUCUCUCAUAAUGCUUCUUUAAAUUUUCAGUCUCACUUAAUUUCCGGGGUUAGUAAUAUAUCUUGCCAUAAGUUAACUCCCCGUGAUGGCCAGUUUCAUGUACUAUAUAUAAGUAAUUUGCCUUUUGCAUGGCUAUAAUUCUGCAUCCGUGUCUAAGGCCCAGUUUCACAGUUCCUCAUGGCGGGUUAGUAAGCUCCGAAACCAAUACCAGAGCCUUCGAAAUUUCCUUGUACAGUGUCUGGAGUUUAUAUUCAAGUUCACAAAUUUGACGAGACUAUACAGGAAAGGUCUUGUGUGUUUAUGCUACGAAGGAAAGGGAGGAGAAGGGAGAUGAGAUUAGGAGACGAGUGAGCCGAGAUUCUGUUUAUAUUCAAGUCCACAAAUUUGACGAGACUAUACAGGAAAGGUCUUGUGUGUUUAUGCUACGAAGGAAAGGGAGGAGAAGGGAGAUGAGAUUGGGAGACGAGUGAGCCGAGAUCCUGUUUAUAUUCAAGUUCACAAAUUUGACUAGACUAUACAGGAAAGGUCUUGUUUUUUUAUGAUACGAAGGAAAGGGAGGAGAAGGGAGAUGAGAUUGGGAGACGAGUGAGCCGAGAUCCUGUUUAUAUUCAAGUUCACAAAUUUGACGAGACUAUACAGGAAAGGUCUUAUAUUGUCAUGAUACGAAGGAAAGGGAGGAGAAGGGAGAUGAGAUUGGGAGACGAGUGAGCCGAGAUCCUGUUUAUAUUCAAGUUCACAAAUUUGACAAGACUAUACAGGAAAAGCUCUCUGUUUAUGAUAUGAAGGAAAGGGAAGAGAAGGGAGAUGAGUAAGCUGAGAUCCUGUUUAUAUUCAAGUCCACAAAUUUGACGACACAAUACAGGAAAAGCUCUGUGUAUUUAGUGUGUCAUCGAAGACCGCGCCAUUUUGAACAGUAUGGGAUUCUAUAGCUUGGUUCGGGAGUGUUACAAAGACCAUGAUGGACUGUGGAAGCGGCCCUUAAUGUUCCCUUUUCUAAUAUGCUUCUCUGUUUUUCCAGGAUGCCGCGGACGGACCAUGCAGAGGACUCAUCGCGCCGACACCAACGGUUUGGUUAAGUGGGUUCUUUUGUGUGUGCGUCUGUGUGUGAAUGGCAGGCCUGUCGUAUGAUUGUGUGUGUGUGUGCGCUGGCGGUAUGCCUUCGCACUAUUAUUUUGUUAGGAUGUAUUUUUUUGUGUGUGAACUUUUUGCACGUAAUCUUUUUUUAUACCCAUAGCUAGCGUUUGUUUGUGUGGCAGUGUUCCGGGAGAUGGACGCCGGGGGACAUGGGCUUGGGGAGGCGCACAUGACCUCCUCUGUCCGUGACCUCUUCAGCUGGGGAGACCGUGUGUUGCCCCGCCUGGAGAGACACGUUGAUGGAGGUGGCCGUGUGUGUCACCCUUUGCCUGUAUCCUCUGGCGUCCAGAGGCGCGUAAGUGGAGAGCAUCGGCGCAGCGCGGGAGCAGCACGUCAGGGUGUAGGGUGUUUGUUUAGCUGGUGUAGGGUGUUAGGGUGUUAGGUGUAACAACGGUUGGCUCUUUCACAGAACGGGUGUGAUUCCGUUCUGCGUUUGAGUCUUCCACCUUCAGACGGUCUCCCUCCGAGAUGUCUGAAGUUUUUUUGUCGGUUUUCUCCGUAGGAGGAAG
Eriocheir sinensis (Chinese mitten crab) is the source of this 3190-nucleotide long non-coding RNA. RefSeq lists it as uncharacterized. NCBI's taxonomy places the organism in Eukaryota, Metazoa, Arthropoda, Malacostraca, Decapoda, Varunidae. The transcript has 4 exons. The record is from RefSeq and is a predicted model, not a curated record.